This 376-nucleotide ribosomal RNA is filed under the name Salmonella enterica subsp. enterica serovar Mbandaka. RNAcentral's name for it is "bacterial LSU rRNA". It matches the Rfam family "Bacterial large subunit ribosomal RNA", at positions 330 to 606 of the family's 2925-position model. Lineage: Bacteria; Pseudomonadati; Pseudomonadota; Gammaproteobacteria; Enterobacterales; Enterobacteriaceae. The record is from RNAcentral.
UAGUGGAAGCGUCUGGAAAGUCGCGCGAUACAGGGUGACAGCCCCGUACACAAAAGCGCAUGUGCUGUGAGCUCGAUGAGUAGGGCGGGACACGUGGUAUCCUGUCUGAAUAUGGGGGGACCAUCCUCCAAGGCUAAAUACUCCUGACUGACCGAUAGUGAACCAGUACCGUGAGGGAAAGGCGAAAAGAACCCCGGCGAGGGGAGUGAAAAAGAACCUGAAACCGUGUACGUACAAGCAGUGGGAGCCCCACCACCAAAGCAUUCUCUGGUGUUGAAGGCCCUGCAAAGCAGCAUCGCGGUGGCGGAGCGUCGUUUGCGACGCCCAACACAAAAAACAAGCGGUGAGUGCUUUGGGGUGGGGUGACUGCGUACCU